CUUUUGUGGGGUGCUCGAGUGGCGAACGGGUUAGUAACACGUGAGUAACCUGCCCUUGACUUUGGGAUAACUUCAGGAAACUGGGGCUAAUACCGGAUAGGAGCUCCUGCUGCAUGGUGGGGGUUGGAAAGUUUCGGCGGUUGGGGAUGGACUCGCGGCUUAUCAGCUUGUUGGUGGGGUAGUGGCUUACCAAGGCUUUGACGGGUAGCCGGCCUGAGAGGGUGACCGGCCACAUUGGGACUGAGAUACGGCCCAG
RNAcentral lists this ribosomal RNA (256 nucleotides) under uncultured Actinomycetales bacterium. Its description in RNAcentral is "partial 16S ribosomal RNA". It matches the Rfam family "Bacterial small subunit ribosomal RNA", at positions 77 to 334 of the family's 1533-position model. Lineage: Bacteria; Bacillati; Actinomycetota; Actinomycetes; Actinomycetales. The record is from RNAcentral.